UGUUUCGAGUUCCUCCGGAACACCCGGGAUUUUUCGUAUUUAGCCACGCCGGUCACGUGAUAUGAGCAAAAUGUUCCACAGGGGUACUUCCGGUUAAUUUUGUUUACACUGGUAACAAAAUUGUUUUUGACAAAAUAUAGAUUUUGCGGCACAAACUGUCGCAAAUCAGAUAAAGAAUAGCAAGGGAUAUAUAUUUACUUGGGAAGAUGUCAAAGUUUGCCUUUUCCCAAACCCGGGAAAAGCGUUCACGCAGAGGAAACGGUGGCGUCAUUUGUGUAGAAAACCACGAGCAGCCGAAAUUGAGUGCGAAUAUUACAUUCCGUGAAAGCUGAACCAACAAAGAAACAUCAUUGUUCUAGCCAGUUUCCUUAUAUUAACUUUUAGGAAAACCAAGAGGUUGAUAACAAUGGCUGAUCUGCAUAUAAUGACUGCUAGUUAUUGGCUGGUAUGCAGUGAAAGGGAGCUAAAAAGGAGUAAAAAGUUCAUAUCAGCCAGGUGAGAAUUAAUUUCUUCUUUUUUGUGUGUUAUACAUAUGUAAUUCUUUUCUUUUGCUGCUUCAAAUCUUGUGUAUUUGAAAAUUUUCAGUCUAAUAUUUUGGCAAUGUUAUAGGUAGUGUGGCUUAAAUAAACCACUGUUAAGGAAUAUCCAGUAAUGGCAUGACAUCAUGAGAGUUUGGCAUACCGACAUUCAGAUGAUUAAUGAUGAAACUGAAGACCUCAAGUGAAAGGCAUGGAAAAUGAUCCUGUUCCCAUAUACCUGAAAAAGAGGAGGGAUGCCACAAUAUUGAUAAUAGACUUUUGUCAAUUUGAGAAGCAAAGAUGUAAAAAAAAAAAAAAAAAAAAAUAAUGCUGAAAUUAUAAUUCAUGUAUUUGUUAAAAAUACUGUUCACUGUACAUACAUGUAUAUUUUUUAAAACUUAUUUUUAAAUACAUGAAGUAAUUCAUAUUAAAACUGUGAAUGUAUGAG
Molecule: long non-coding RNA, 966 nt
Organism: Ostrea edulis (European flat oyster)
Lineage: Eukaryota; Metazoa; Mollusca; Bivalvia; Ostreida; Ostreidae
Exons: 2
Source: RefSeq, a predicted model, not a curated record